AGAAAUAAGUCGAAACCCCCACCCUCACCUGUUUGGGCAUACGCACAGAAACCACGCAGAAGAAACAGACUGGGAACGAGGCAGCCUGUGCUGUAGCGACGGUUAGGACAUCUCAGUGGAAACUCCAUGUCUAAAGCGGGGAAUUACAUGUCCUCUUUGCCACCCAGCUGUGGUGGGACUGAUGCCGGGACUUGUGCAAAGUCCCGAGAUUCAGCAGGACCAUGACCGCAGCAGAGUCCGCGUCCUCUUGAAAGGAAGGUUUCCCUGCAGUGCAGGCUCUCCUCUAAUGGGGAGGCCGUCAUGCGAGGUGGGGAGCGCACCGCCAUGGCAGUGCCCAGGCAGAGCUGGGGAUGCUAUAUCUGGGUGCUGUAACAGAGAGAGAGAGACAGGCCGGGCCAGAUGAUGGCCAACACCUGUCUGCUCUGAAGCUCGUCUGAUUUCAUUAUUAAUUCCCCUGGGAGUGGGUUGAAUAAUGUCCCCCCAAAUUCAUGCCCACCCAGACCGCAGAAUAGGUCCUUAUUUGGAAACAGUGUCUUUGCAGAUGCAAUUAUUGAAUAGUUAAGAUGAAGUUGUGCUGAGUUUGAGUGCGCCCUCAAUCCGAUGACUGAGAUCCUUAUAAGAAAGGGAAGAGGAUGCAGAGACAAACCCACAUGGAGACAGAGGCAGAGACUGGAGCAAUGCUGCCACAAGCCAAGGAUGCCAAGCACCAUCGGCCGCAACCAGAAGCCAGAAGGGAGGCCUGGCAUGAUUUCUCCCUGGAGCCUUUGAUACAGCAGGCUGAUACCUUUUCACCUUCAGUACUGUGAGAGAAUACAUCUCUGUUGUUUUGCAGCCGGUGGUUUUGUGUGAUGGGAGCCCCGGGAAGCUGACACACCCUUUUGCUUUCACCCUGGGUUGUCUCUGUGGAGCCUCGGAAAAGGGAAGAAGCUCUCUUGACUUCAUCAUUGUUUUAAAGACCUUCAAGUCUAAUGGAAAAUUCUUGUUAUUUUUCAUGAUGCCGCAUCCCCCACCUUUUCCUUUUAAAAGUAUUUUAUGCUCACAACCAACGUUGUACCAUCCACAAACAUGUUAUUGUGAGUGCGGUUUGGAUGAAACUGUAAAGAGAGAGCAUGUGCUUCCGUCUUGGCCUUGGGAGCACAAAGCCAAGCACAGCAGUGCCUGGGUGCUCCCAGCUCUGCUUCCUCCCUGCUCCUCCACCAGCUCUGGCCAUGCAUCCCUCUUUCCUUUCUCCUCCUGUCUCCAGUCUCUGAACCUGCUUAAUUCACCUCUGACUGAAGGUGAUGAAGACAGCGGAAUGGGAUCCAGAGAGAUACAAGCCCCGGAGCCCUACAGACUAGAAGCUCUUGCACGGCUGCCCCGCAUUUUGUGUGUGAGAAUCUUUUCUUAAAUUUAUUUUUAAUUGGAGGAUAAUUGCUUUACAUCGUGUUGGUUUCUGCCAUACAUCAACAAGAAUCAGCCAUAGACACACACAUGUCCCCUUCCUCUUAAACCUCCCUCCCAGCUCCUAUGCUGUCCCACCCCUCUAGGUUGUCACAGAUCCCCAGGCUGAGCUCUCUGCACUCUACAACUUCCUGUCAGCUCUCUGCUUUACACAUGGUCAUGUAUCUGAGCCACCAGGGAAGCCCAAUGUCUGUAUCUCAAUGCAACUCUCUCCGUUCAUCCCACCCUCUCCUUCCCCUGCUGUGUCUGGAAGUCUGUUCUCUCUGUCUGAGUCUCUCUUCCUGUCCUGCAAAUAGGUUCAUCAGUACCUUUUUCUAGGCUCCGUAUAUAUGUGUUCAUAUUUGUUUUUCUCUUUCUGACUUACUUCACUCUGUAUAACGCUCUAGGUUCAUCCACUUCAUAUAGUAGGACCUGCGGAACUUUCCCUACCGGGAGAUCACUAAGAUAAAGAGCACUUCUUCAGAGUAUCCUACCACGUCCUGGACUGUGGCCAAAGGAAAGCCCAGAUAUCCAGCAAUGGUGGUGGGGAAAUGAAAAUAUUUACAUAUUUAUAUGUAACACAAAUAUUGGAGUGUGUUUGUGUGUGUGUGCCUAUGUGUAGAGAGAGACAGAGACAGAGAGUGAAAUAUUUAUUCUUAGCAAGGAGGUUAUGACUGCAUUAAGUAACCUUCUCUGUUGGAUUAAAUGACCAGACAAGGAAGCCUGGUAAUAGAUGUAAAGUACACUCUCCGAUAGCCCACCAGCUGGUCAUAAAAGACCGACAGGGACAAAGAAGUCCCUUGUACUGUGUUUUCUUCAAACAUAUUACUGUUUUAGCGUCGUCUUAUGUGCAAGCUGAUUAACAUAGAGAGCUAGCCAUGACAUCCUUUCUGUUUGGGGCCACUUUGGGCUGCUACUCACAGAAGCCUGGGAGAAGAGAAGAGAAGAGAAGAGUCUUGGGGAUCACA
Molecule: long non-coding RNA, 2387 nt
Organism: Bos indicus x Bos taurus (hybrid cattle)
Lineage: Eukaryota; Metazoa; Chordata; Mammalia; Artiodactyla; Bovidae
Source: Ensembl